This 253-nucleotide ribosomal RNA is filed under the name uncultured bacterium. RNAcentral's name for it is "partial 16S ribosomal RNA". It matches the Rfam family "Bacterial small subunit ribosomal RNA", at positions 524 to 776 of the family's 1533-position model. The record is from RNAcentral.
UACGUAGGAUGCAAGCGUUGUCCGGAAUUAUUGGGCGUAAAGAGCGCGCAGGCGGUAUGACAAGUCAGAUGUGAAAGAGGCCGGCUUAACCGGCAAGGGUCAUUUGAAACUGUCAGACUAGAGUGCAGCAGAGGAUAGUGGAAUUCCCGGUGUAGUGGUGAAAUGCGUAGAUAUCGGGAGGAACACCGGUGGCGAAGGCGGUUCUCUGGGCCUGUACUGACGCUGAGGAGCGAAAGCGUGGGGAGCGAACAGG